AUUGAACGCUGGCGGCAGGCCUAACACAUGCAAGUCGAGCGAGCGGCGGACGGGUGAGUAAUGUAUGGGGACUGCCCGAUAGAGGGGGAUAACUACUGGAAACGGUAGCUAAUACCGCAUACUAUCGGAUAACCCAUAUGGGAUUAGCUAGUAGGUGAGGUAAUGGCUCACCUAGGCGACGAUCCCUAGCUGGUUUGAGAGGACGACCAGGCACACUGGGAAUGAGCCACGGCCCAGGAUCCUACGGAGGCAGGAGUGGGGAAUUAUGGACAAUGGGGGAAACCCUGGUCCAACCAUCCCGGGUGUAUGGUGAGGGCCUUCGGGGUGUGGAGUACUUUUAGCUGAGAAGCGGUAUCAGAAGAAUAAGCACCGGCUAACUACGUGCCAGCCGCCGCGGUAAUAC
RNAcentral lists this ribosomal RNA (403 nucleotides) under uncultured bacterium. RNAcentral describes it as "partial 16S ribosomal RNA". It matches the Rfam family "Bacterial small subunit ribosomal RNA", at positions 30 to 526 of the family's 1533-position model. The record is from RNAcentral.